Molecule: small nuclear RNA, 149 nt
Filed under: Pogona vitticeps (central bearded dragon)
Lineage: Eukaryota; Metazoa; Chordata; Lepidosauria; Squamata; Agamidae
Description: U1 spliceosomal RNA (ENSPVIG00000015978.1)
Rfam family: U1 spliceosomal RNA
About the family: U1 is a small nuclear RNA (snRNA) component of the spliceosome (involved in pre-mRNA splicing). Its 5' end forms complementary base pairs with the 5' splice junction, thus defining the 5' donor site of an intron.
Source: Rfam by way of RNAcentral
ACUCAUACCUGGCAGGGGAGAUACCAUGAUCAUAAAAGUGGUUUUCCCAGGGUAAGGCUCAUCCAUUGUACUUCAGGUGUGCUGAUCCCUGUGAUUUCCCCAACUGCCUAAUUUAUGGUAGUGGGGGGACUGCAUUGUGGUUUCCCCUA